RNAcentral lists this ribosomal RNA (430 nucleotides) under uncultured bacterium. RNAcentral's name for it is "bacterial SSU rRNA". It matches the Rfam family "Bacterial small subunit ribosomal RNA", at positions 343 to 789 of the family's 1533-position model. The record is from RNAcentral.
GGGUGGCAGCAGUGGGGAAUAUUGGACAAUGGGGGCAACCCUGAUCCAGCCAUGCCGCGUGAGUGAUGAAGGCCUUAGGGUUGUAAAGCUCUUUCACCGGUGAAGAUAAUGACGGUAACCGGAGAAGAAGCCCCGGCUAACUUCGUGCCAGCAGCCGCGGUAAUACGAAGGGGGCUAGCGUUGUUCGGAUUUACUGGGCGUAAAGCGCACGUAGGCGGAUAUUUAAGUCAGAGGUGAAAUCCCAGGGCUCAACCCUGGAGCUGCCUUUGAUACUGGGUAUCUUGAGUAUGGAAGAGGUGAGUGGAAUUCCGAGUGUAGAGGUGAAAUUCGUAGAUAUUCGGAGGAACACCAGUGGCGAAGGCGGCUCACUGGUCCAUUACUGACGCUGAGGUGCGAAAGCGUGGGGAGCAAACAGGAUUAGAUACCCCUG